CCAAGGAGUCUAACAUGUGCGCGAGUCGUCGAGUCUGUCACGAAACUCGCGAGGCGUAAUGAAAGUGAAACGGCCCCGAUGAGGGUGUUCCGUGAGGGGUGAUCUCGUCUCGAAUAGAGCGAGCGCAACCCCUGGGCGUUCGGAGUCGCGAGGCGGCGGGGAUUCGUUUCCGUCCGUCGAGUCGACCGAACGAACCGAGAGCGUACACGUUGGGACCCGAAAGAUGGUGACCUAUGCCUGGCCAGGACGAAGCCAGGGGAAACCCUGGUGGAGGUCCGCAGCGAUUCUGACGUGCAAAUCGAUCGUCGGAGUUGGGUAUAGGGGCGAAAGACUAAUCGAACCAUCUAGUAUCAGGAUAGCUGGUGCUCGCAAAGAGAACAAACGGAGUUUCAUCCGGUAAAGCGAAUGAUUAGAGGCCUUGGGGUCGAAACGACCUCAACCUAUUCUCAAACUUUCAAUGGGUGAGAAGCCCGGCCUAGAUACCUUGAGUUGAGGCCGCGGCAAUCUGAAUUUAAGAAUCUGAGCGCCCAGUGGGCCAUUUUUGGUAAGCAGAACUGGCGCUGUGGGAUGAACCAAACGCUCGGUUAAGGCGCCUAAACGACGCACAUUUCGGAUCCCACGAAAAGGAGUUGGUUGCUAAAGACAGCAGGACGGUGGCCAUGGAGGUCGGAAUCCGCUCAGGAGUGUGUAACAACUCACCUGCCGAAGCAACUAGCCCUUAAAAUGGGAGGCGCUAUAGCGUCGUGCCUAUACCGAGCCGUCGGUCGGCAGCGAGAAUAACGCCGUGUAACGCUCGUAGAGAGCGACGGCGCGGAGGCCCCGACGAGUAGGGGGGUCGCGACGGUGAGCGUUGAAGGGUUGUGGGCGCGAGCCUGCCUGGAGCCGCCGUCGGUGCAGAUCUUGGUGGUAGUAGCAAAUACUCC
Molecule: ribosomal RNA, 923 nt
Filed under: Scapholeberis mucronata
Lineage: Eukaryota; Metazoa; Arthropoda; Branchiopoda; Diplostraca; Daphniidae
Description: eukaryotic LSU rRNA
Rfam family: Eukaryotic large subunit ribosomal RNA
Source: RNAcentral